UACGGAGGGUGCAAGCGUUAUCCGGAUUCACUGGGUUUAAAGGGUGCGUAGGCGGGUUGGUAAGUCAGUGGUGAAAUCUUCAAGCUUAACUUGGAAACUGCCGUUGAUACUAUCAAUCUUGAAUGUUGUGGAGGUAAGCGGAAUAUGUCAUGUAGCGGUGAAAUGCUUAGAUAUGACAUAGAACACCGAUAGCGAAGGCAGCUUGCUACACAAUAAUUGACGCUGAGGCACGAAAGCGUGGGGAGCGAACAGG
This 253-nucleotide ribosomal RNA is filed under the name uncultured bacterium. RNAcentral describes it as "partial 16S ribosomal RNA". It matches the Rfam family "Bacterial small subunit ribosomal RNA", at positions 524 to 776 of the family's 1533-position model. The record is from RNAcentral.